This is an RNA transcript of Ailuropoda melanoleuca (giant panda), 1662 nucleotides long. It is a transcript of the gene named leucine zipper transcription factor like 1, with no coding region annotated. Lineage: Eukaryota; Metazoa; Chordata; Mammalia; Carnivora; Ursidae. The transcript has 11 exons. The record is from RefSeq and is a predicted model, not a curated record.
UCCUAUUAGCAACCGGAGGCUUCUAAACAAGUUGCCCUCCCUCCGCAUCUUCUGCGGCCCAACUACCCUCGACCACCCCGGGUUUGGCGGGCCUCCGCCUGGCCUCUCCCGCUCCUCGGGGCUGCGACUCCCGCCGCCGCCAUGGCAGAGUUGGGCCUAAACGAGCACCAUCAAAAUGAAGUUAUCAAUUACAUGCGUUUUGCUCGUUCAAAAAGAGGGCUGAGACUCAAAACUGUAGAUUCCUGCUUCCAAGACCUCAAGGAGAGCAGGCUGGUGGAGGAGAGCUUCACCGUGGACGAGGUCUCCGAGGUCCUGAGCGGGUUGCAGGCUGUGGUCUACAGCGAGGUGGAGUCUGAGCUCAUCAACACGGCCCACACCAACGUGCUGCUUCUGCGGCAGCUUUUCUCCCAGGCUGAGAAGUGGUACCUUAAGCUGCAGACCGAUAUCUCUGAACUUGAAAACAGAGAAUUAUUAGAAGAAGUUGCAGAAUUUGAAAAAGCAGAAUUUACAUCUUCAAAUAAAAAGCCCAUCAUAGAUACCAUGAAGCCAAAACUUGCUCCACUUAACGAGGGUGGAACCACGGAACUCUUGAACAAGGAAAUUUCCAGACUUCAAGAGGAGAACGAGAAAUUGAAGUCAAGGCUGAAGACCAUUGAAAUGCAGGCAACCCACGCAUUAGAUGAGAAGUCAAAGCUAGAAAGAGCCCUGCAGGAUUUACAGCUCGACCAAGGAAAUCAGAAGGAUUUUAUAAAAGCCCAAGACUUGAGUGAUUUGGAAAACACAGUUGCUGCUUUGAAGAGUGAGUUUCAGAAGACACUUAACGACAAGACAGAAAACCAGAAGUCCCUGGAGGAGAAUCUGGCCACAGCCAAGCACGACCUACUCAGGGUUCAGGAGCAGCUGAACAUGGCUGAAAAGGAAUUAGAGAAGAAAUUCCAACAAACAGCAGCUUAUCGAAACAUGAAAGAGAUUCUCACCAGGAAGAAUGACCAAAUCAAAGACCUGAGGAGAAGACUGGCCAAGUAUGAACCUGAAGAUUAAAACCCAAAGAUGAUUUCUUCUGGAAGCUGCCACCACGCAAAAGUACAAGCUAUUUCACACCUGAGAGGCUUUAUGUUAAAAUAUCGAAGGAACAGAUGACGAAGGGUAAGACAGACAACCUCCCCGGAAAAGGACACAGAAGGCAGACUUAAAAAGAUGAAUGAAUCAGAGAAAGCAGGGAAAAAUCCAGCAAACCAGCAUUUACUGCAUAUUCUCCCCCCACCUACCUCCCACCGUUCCGGUCACUCAUCAAUCUCCCUUCUUUCUAGAGCUUUUACCCGCAUAGUGCUUUAGCCCCGAAUCGAUACCCUCUCCAAAAAUCUAUCCCAUGCCUUAAGGACCAGGAUGGUCCAUAUAAUUCAGAAACAGAACGUGCUAGUAUUAUCCGUCAGAGACCAUUCAGUCAUUCCCUCCCUGCGUCUUUCUGAAUGUGACGCCCACGGGGGAGGAAGAGGUGUUGAGAAACCUGUAUUGCCAAGUGGAAUUUCAGCUUGUUUUUUGGUAGCAACUUUGAAAUAUUCUGUCUGGUGUGUUCCAGUUCGAUAAUAAAUUCAAAAGUAUUUCUGGGGCGCCUGGGUGGCACAGCGGUUAAGCGUCUGCCUUCGGCUCAGGGCGUGAUCC